Molecule: transfer RNA, 84 nt
Filed under: Escherichia coli
Lineage: Bacteria; Pseudomonadati; Pseudomonadota; Gammaproteobacteria; Enterobacterales; Enterobacteriaceae
Description: tRNA-Xxx
Source: RNAcentral
AUGUUUCGUUUGAUGAUUGGACCGGUCUCGAAAACCGGAGUAGGGGCAACUCUACCGGGGGGGCAAAUCCCCCUCUCUCCGCCA